AUAUAUAUAUAUAUAUAUAUAUAUAUAUACACAUACUCACACAGACAGACACAGUCUCACACACACACACACACACACAUAUAUAUAUAUAUAUUCAGAUAUAUAAAUACCAGUUCAAUAAAUUAAGGUAAGACUGGAUGAAAAAUUUAGAAUUUUUUGUUUGCAAUCAGUAACAAAUAAUUUUGUCCCAUACUAAAUAAAAAAUGUCAUAUUUACAUUUUAAAGAAAGCCAUAAUUCAAUAUUUUGUGAAAGAUAUUAUAAAAAAAUAGUUACUUUUUAAAAAUAUAAAGACUAAAGCUCAUGUUAUUAUUGAAUAAUAUAAAGAACAGUUUGCCGAUUUAGUAAUAUUUUCUGUCACCUCAUAACAUUCUCACAUUAAUAUCAUUUCAUAAGUGUGUGUCUUUGCCACUAGAUGUCAGCAGAGGACAGGAAACUAAGCACAGUGCUUCCAUGAUACCUAAAACGACCAUUCAGAUAUUUUUGUCAUUGGUCUAAUAGCGAAGGUGUUUAUUUUAUUUCAUCUUUUCUCGACACAUCAUCACUAUUUUGCCCUGUAAAAAGCCAAUAAUCAUACUACAUCUGCCAUCAUCUCCAAUAUAGAUGUCUACGCAUUUUUUGCGAUCCAUUGCUUCCCCAACCCCCUCUACAAUUUUUCUGUCCACGCUCCCCGUGACCAAAGUGUUGAACUGUUUUUGUCGAUAUUUCCAGAUUUGUUCUUCUGUUUCCAACCUUUCUUCAACUAAAAGGGCUUUCCAGCUUCUCCUCAAUUAGACGAGCCCUUGAUGGUGUUGGUACGACCGCAGUGCAUUAUGGGAGGGGGUCCUCAGUGAGGACGAGCAAAACAAUCGCUGCUUUAUUCCCCCUAAUAGCCCGCAUUGCAUCGUGGGUAUCACCAUGGCUUUCUUGGACACUUGCCCCUUGGCAGCCAUGGUUGAGUUUAAAGGACAUUUGGUUGGACAGAAUAAAGAGAGAUUUCGAACUUGCGUUACAUGAACACACUGAACUGAAUCAUAAUCAAUCAUUUUAUUGCUAAAUUUUCAUCGUGCACUGAACAAACCCAGACAAUAGCCAUCAACAACGCCCAAAAUUUAAUCGAAAGGAUGCUUUUAACUCAAACGGACAGAACUUUUUGCAGUUAUUCCGACCACUUUGCCAAGAUAUUCUGUUUUUCCUAUUUAUUUUGCCUGUCUUUCCUUUGAGUUCUGUGUCUGAUGGGUUAGUUUAGCUGGUCACACUUCACACCGAACGACACAAAACUGCACCCCGCGUCUCCCGUGUCAUCUUUAUUAACAAGACCGCAGCUUUGUGAACCAUGUCAUACUGGAAUGUGAUGCUAGUCGAGGUCCUGAUGCUGCACGGUCAGCAUAGCGACGGAUCCCUCAACAAUAAAAAGAUGUGAAUCCCGAUUCCGGAUGACAUAGCUUACUUGUUCGUGCCGACUGAUAUGCUGACCACCAUUCAACUGUGAAACUAACAUGAUGUCACAUGACGCCCUGAGACGUCACAUUGCGUUGUGAUGCAUUUAUAAAGCUGUGCGUUUAGUUGAUUCAGGUGCCACCGUGACGCCCGGAUGCGGUUUCUUCGCUCGGUGUGAAGUCUGAACAAUAUGAAGGCCUUCAUAGACGUAGAGAAGCGUGACAGAAAUGCACCGACUUGUAUGAAUGUAGUAUCUAUUUGUGACCCAGAGCCAUUAUUUUGUUCUUUUGUUGAAUUGUUUUUGCUUUUUCAUUUUUUUUUAAUUUCAUGACGAUGUGCCGAGCUGAAAUUUUCCAUGCGUUGUACACUGUUUAAUUUUUUUUUCAUUUAAUCAUUCAAUAAUGGACAAAUAUAGACUGCCGUAUAUCUUGUAUUGAAUUUGAUUUCCAAUGGUAUUCUAUAGAAAGUAUAUUCUAUACAUAUAUGAGAUAUAUGAAACAGCGCCUCUUUAGUCAAACUCUCUCUUGUGGGAACUGCAAUGUGUGGCUCUGCCUGUUGACUAUUUCCACGUAAACCUGUGACUUGAUUUGUAUGGUGUCUGUAUAUAUCCAAACGAAAAAAAUAAACUGUUGAAAAAUACA
This is a long non-coding RNA of Carassius carassius (crucian carp), 2058 nucleotides long. RefSeq lists it as uncharacterized. Lineage: Eukaryota; Metazoa; Chordata; Actinopteri; Cypriniformes; Cyprinidae. The record is from RefSeq and is a predicted model, not a curated record. The transcript has 2 exons.